AAGGACUACAAUUCCCAUCAGCCCCUGCCAGCAUGGCCAAUUGGCUGAUGGGAAUUGUAGUCCUUAACAUCUGGAGUGCCAAAGGUUCGCCACCACUGAUUUAAGAGGCCGCAGCAGCUCAAGUCUGUGCCUGGAGUCGCUGUCGUUUCAUUUAACCCCCGCCUGCCCAUCCGGCACUCCCUGUCCAGUGUUUGCCCUGCCCACUGUUGGUCUGUGCAGCUUCCACAUUGCCUGGAAUGACCGCUCUUCUCCGGGGUUCAGUUCCCCUGGAAUCGAGGAGGGUGGCCCGAAUGGCCUCGUGCCCCUGUGAGGUUGCUCUCCUCUACAAACCCUGCCCUUAUGAGGCUCCGCCUCCAAAUCUCCAGGAAUUUCCUAACCCACAGUUGGCAUCCCUAGGCUGGUGCCGUGGCCUCUGCCCACCGGUUUGAGAUCCCCGUCUCUGCUGGCCGUCCCUCUUACGUGCAGCAUUUAAAUCUGCCGCAAUCUCCCCGGCACCGUUCAAAAGGCCUGGAACGCUUCGCCCUUGUUAGAUUUUUUUGUCUCUGGUGGGAAACAAAGAUGCUUUGCCAGAGAGACAGCAGGUGGUUCUUAGUGAGGUCACACCUUCAUAGGUGUACGAGUGUACGGUGAAUGCCAUCUAAAAUGUGACAUUCCCUUCGGCUGCGUCCACAGGAACGUUUCAACCCAAAGCUAACUCCAGAACAACUGAACAAGAGCCUAUGACAGUGGACAUCCCUGUCUGUGGAUCUCUGGAGAGGGACAGUUUUCUUGGGAGAUUUUUGGUGAGAAGUUGUGUAUUUCUGUUCCAUAAAAAAAAAAAAACAGUUUCCAAA
Molecule: long non-coding RNA, 833 nt
Organism: Sphaerodactylus townsendi
Lineage: Eukaryota; Metazoa; Chordata; Lepidosauria; Squamata; Sphaerodactylidae
Exons: 2
Source: RefSeq, a predicted model, not a curated record